RNAcentral lists this ribosomal RNA (459 nucleotides) under uncultured bacterium. RNAcentral's name for it is "partial 16S ribosomal RNA". It matches the Rfam family "Bacterial small subunit ribosomal RNA", at positions 338 to 795 of the family's 1533-position model. The record is from RNAcentral.
CCUACGGGUGGCAGCAGUGAGGAAUAUUGGUCAAUGGGCGCGAGCCUGAACCAGCCAAGUAGCGUGAAGGAUGACUGCCCUACGGGUUGUAAACUUCUUUUAUAAAGGAAUAAAGUGAGGCACGUGUGCCUUUUUGUAUGUACUUUAUGAAUAAGGAUCGGCUAACUCCGUGCCAGCAGCCGCGGUAAUACGGAGGAUGCGAGCGUUAUCCGGCUUUAUUGGGUUUAAAGGGUGCGUAGGCGGACUGUUAAGUCAGCGGUAAAAGCCCGGGGCUCAACCCCGGCGAGCCGUUGAAACUGGCAGUCUUGAGUACAGUUGAGGUAGGCGGAAUUCGUGGUGUAGCGGUGAAAUGCUUAGAUAUCACGAAGAACUCCGAUUGCGAAGGCAGCUUACUAAACUGCCACUGACAUUGAUGCUCGAAAGUGUGGGUAUCAAACAGGAUUAGAUACCCCGGUAGUC